Molecule: ribosomal RNA, 1487 nt
Filed under: Salmonella enterica
Lineage: Bacteria; Pseudomonadati; Pseudomonadota; Gammaproteobacteria; Enterobacterales; Enterobacteriaceae
Description: partial 23S ribosomal RNA
Rfam family: Bacterial large subunit ribosomal RNA
Source: RNAcentral
AGACCCGAAACCCGGUGAUCUAGCCAUGGGCAGGUUGAAGGUUGGGUAACACUAACUGGAGGACCGAACCGACUAAUGUUGAAAAAUUAGCGGAUGACCUGUGGCUGGGGGUGAAAGGCCAAUCAAACCGGGAGAUAGCUGGUUCUCCCCGAAAGCUAUUUAGGUAGCGCCUCGUGAAUUCAUCUCCGGGGGUAGAGCACUGUUUCGGCUAGGGGGCCAUCCCGGCUUACCAACCCGAUGCAAACUGCGAAUACCGGAGAAUGUUAUCACGGGAGACACACGGCGGGUGCUAACGUCCGUCGUGAAGAGGGAAACAACCCAGACCGCCAGCUAAGGUCCCAAAGUCAUGGUUAAGUGGGAAACGAUGUGGGAAGGCCCAGACAGCCAGGAUGUUGGCUUAGAAGCAGCCAUCAUUUAAAGAAAGCGUAAUAGCUCACUGGUCGAGUCGGCCUGCGCGGAAGAUGUAACGGGGCUAAACCAUGCACCGAAGCUGCGGCAGCGACACUAUGUGUUGUUGGGUAGGGGAGCGUUCUGUAAGCCUGUGAAGGUGUGUCGUGAGGCAUGCUGGAGGUAUCAGAAGUGCGAAUGCUGACAUAAGUAACGAUAAAGCGGGUGAAAAGCCCGCUCGCCGGAAGACCAAGGGUUCCUGUCCAACGUUAAUCGGGGCAGGGUGAGUCGACCCCUAAGGCGAGGCCGAAAGGCGUAGUCGAUGGGAAACGGGUUAAUAUUCCCGUACUUGGUGUUACUGCGAAGGGGGGACGGAGAAGGCUAUGUUGGCCGGGCGACGGUUGUCCCGGUUUAAGCGUGUAGGUGUGUGUUCCAGGUAAAUCCGGUUCACUUUAACACUGAGGCGUGACGACGAGGCACUACGGUGCUGAAGCAACAAAUGCCCUGCUUCCAGGAAAAGCCUCUAAGCAUCAGGUAACAUCAAAUCGUACCCCAAACCGACACAGGUGGUCAGGUAGAGAAUACCAAGGCGCUUGAGAGAACUCGGGUGAAGGAACUAGGCAAAAUGGUGCCGUAACUUCGGGAGAAGGCACGCUGACACGUAGGUGAAGUGAUUUACUCAUGGAGCUGAAGUCAGUCGAAGAUACCAGCUGGCUGCAACUGUUUAUUAAAAACACAGCACUGUGCAAACACGAAAGUGGACGUAUACGGUGUGACGCCUGCCCGGUGCCGGAAGGUUAAUUGAUGGGGUCAGCGCAAGCGAAGCUCCUGAUCGAAGCCCCGGUAAACGGCGGCCGUAACUAUAACGGUCCUAAGGUAGCGAAAUUCCUUGUCGGGUAAGUUCCGACCUGCACGAAUGGCGUAAUGAUGGCCAGGCUGUCUCCACCCGAGACUCAGUGAAAUUGAACUCGCUGUGAAGAUGCAGUGUACCCGCGGCAAGACGGAAAGACCCCGUGAACCUUUACUAUAGCUUGACACUGAACAUUGAGCCUUGAUGUGUAGGAUAGGUGGGAGGCUUUGAAGUGUGGACGCCAGUCUGC